CCCUUAGAUGUCCUGGGCUGCACGCGCGCUACACUGAUGCGCUCAACGAGUUUACGAUCUUGCUUGAAAUGGCUGGGUAAUCUUUUUAAAAUGCAUCGUGAUGGGGAUAGAUUAUUGCAAUUAUUAAUCUUCAACGAGGAAUGCCUAGUAGGCGCAAGUCAUCAGCUUGCGUCGAUUACGUCCCUGCCCUUUGUACACACCGCCCGUCGCUCCUACCGAUUGGGUGUGCUGGUGAAAUGUUCGGAUCGGCCGUUUGUCGCGGUUUCCGCGUCAUGUGGCUGAGAAGUUCAUUAAACCCUCCCACCUAGAGGAAGGAGAAGUCGUAACA
Molecule: ribosomal RNA, 328 nt
Filed under: uncultured eukaryote
Lineage: Eukaryota
Description: partial 18S ribosomal RNA
Rfam family: Eukaryotic small subunit ribosomal RNA
Source: RNAcentral